Molecule: unclassified non-coding RNA, 269 nt
Filed under: plant metagenome
Description: partial contains small subunit ribosomal RNA, internal transcribed spacer 1, and 5.8S ribosomal RNA
Source: RNAcentral
UUUCCGUAGGUGAACCUGCGGAAGGAUCAUUAAUGAGUUGUCAUGGGGUUCGAUGCUGGCAGCCAAUUUUUGGGUGCAUGUGCUUGCCCUAACAAUCAUCUUCCAAACACCUGUGCACAUUUUUGAGGGAGUCUUGAGUUGGUUGCCGCUCUUGGGUGAUUUUCUCACAUUCCCUUAAAUCAUUAUACGCUAUUAACAAUGUUGAACGUGCUCUGUGCCGCAAGGCUAUUAAUAUAAUACAACUUUUAACAACGGAUCUCUUGGCUCUC